GGUUGGUGGAGGCUCGCGGGGCGCGCUCCCGAGCGCCCUCGCGACCGGAAGUGCGCGCCCGGAGGUAGGCGGGAAGGAGGCGGCGGGCUUAAAGACCCGCUCUGGUGGCCCGCAGUGGGGCGUGACCUUGUUUCCUCCGGGGCGUGGCGGUGGUCUUACUACUACGUUCGGCUUAGCGCGGCAGAAAGAAGAAAUGUUAUCAUGACAAUGGAGCAGCAAGUCCCACCGCCCCAGCUAAAAGGCAGUAUGGCUGUGGCUGCUCAGGUGGAGAGUCCUCAAAGACAGAGUUUCGCUCUUGUUACCCAGGCUGGAGUACAAUGGCGUGACCUCGGCUCACCGCAACCUCCGCCUCCUGGGUUCAGGCAAUUCUCCUGCCUCAGCCUCCUAAGUAGCUGGGAUUACAG
Non-coding RNA from Saimiri boliviensis boliviensis (Bolivian squirrel monkey), 404 nucleotides. The record is from RefSeq and is a predicted model, not a curated record. NCBI's taxonomy places the organism in Eukaryota, Metazoa, Chordata, Mammalia, Primates, Cebidae.